GACGAACGCUGGCGGCGUGCCUAAUACAUGCAAGUUGAGCGCUGAAGGUUGGUACUUGUACCAACUGGAUGAGCAGCGAACGGGUGAGUAACGCGUGGGGAAUCUGCCUUUGAGCGGGGGACAACAUUUGGAAACGAAUGCUAAUACCGCAUAAAAACUUUAAACACAAGUUUUAAGUUUGAAAGAUGCAAUUGCAUCACUCAAAGAUGAUCCCGCGUUGUAUUAGCUAGUUGGUGAGGUAAAGGCUCACCAAGGCGAUGAUACAUAGCCGACCUGGGAGGGGGAACGGCCACAUUGGGACUGAGACACGGCCCAAACUCCUACGGGAGGCAGCAGUAGGGAAUCUUCGGCAAUGGACGAAAGUCUGACCGAGCAACGCCGCGGGAGUGAAGAAGGGUUUCGGAUCGUAAAACUCUGUUGGUAGAGAAGAACGUUGGUGAGAGUGGAAAGCUCAUCAAGUGACGGUAACUACCCAGAAAGGGACGGCUAACUACGUG
Molecule: ribosomal RNA, 497 nt
Filed under: uncultured bacterium
Lineage: Bacteria
Description: partial 16S ribosomal RNA
Rfam family: Bacterial small subunit ribosomal RNA
Source: RNAcentral